UACAGAGGGGGCAAGCGUUGUUCGGAAUUACUGGGCGUAAAGGGCGCGUAGGCGGCCUGUUAAGUCGAACGUGAAAUCCCCGGGCUCAACCCGGGAACUGCGUCCGAUACUGGCAGGCUUGAAUCCGGGAGAGGGAUGCGGAAUUCCAGGUGUAGCGGUGAAAUGCGUAGAUAUCUGGAGGAACACCGGUGGCGAAGGCGGCAUCCUGGACCGGCAUUGACGCUGAGACGCGAAAGCGUGGGGAGCGAACAGG
Molecule: ribosomal RNA, 253 nt
Filed under: uncultured bacterium
Lineage: Bacteria
Description: partial 16S ribosomal RNA
Rfam family: Bacterial small subunit ribosomal RNA
Source: RNAcentral